GGCCAGUGAUGUAACAAAGAUAUUUGCUACUCUUGAUGGGAUUUUUCCAUUUGAUGAUUCUUAUCCACCAAGAUCGCUGAGGCC
Cynara cardunculus var. scolymus (artichoke) is the source of this 84-nucleotide small nucleolar RNA. RefSeq annotates it as small nucleolar RNA SNORD24. The transcript has a single exon. NCBI's taxonomy places the organism in Eukaryota, Viridiplantae, Streptophyta, Magnoliopsida, Asterales, Asteraceae. The record is from RefSeq and is a predicted model, not a curated record.